ACGCAAGUAGCAAUACUUGAGUGGCGGACGGGUGAGUAACGCGUGAGAAUCUACCUUUUGGUCUGGGAUAACAGCUGGAAACGGCUGCUAAUACCGGAUGUGCCGCAACGUGAAAGAUUUAUCGCCAAAAGAAGAGCUCGCGUCUGAUUAGCUAGUUGGUGAGGUAAAGGCUCACCAAGGCUGCGAUCAGUAGCUGGUCUGAGAGGAUGACCAGCCACACUGAGACUGAGACACGGCCCAGACUCCUACGGGAGGCAGCAGUGGGGAAUUUUCCGCAAUGGGCGAAAGCCUGACGGAGCAAGACCGCGUGAGGGAGGAAGGCCUUUGGGUUGUAAACCUCUUUUCUCAGGGAAGAAGAAAGUGACGGUACCUGAGGAAUCAGCCUCGGCUAACUCCGUGCCAGCAGCCGCGGUAAUACGGAGGAGGCAAGCGUUAUCCGGAAUUAUUGGGCGUAAAGCGUCCGUAGGUGGCUUUCUCAAGUCUGCGGUUAAAGACUGGGGCUUAACUCCAGAAAGGCCGUGGAAACUGAAAGGCUAGAGAGCCGUAGGGGUAGAGGGAAUUCCCGGUGUAGCGGUGAAAUGCGUAGAGCUCGGGAAGAACAUCGGUGGCGA
This 611-nucleotide ribosomal RNA is filed under the name uncultured cyanobacterium. RNAcentral describes it as "bacterial SSU rRNA". It matches the Rfam family "Bacterial small subunit ribosomal RNA", at positions 66 to 718 of the family's 1533-position model. Lineage: Bacteria; Bacillati; Cyanobacteriota. The record is from RNAcentral.